UAGCCAUGAUCCGUAAUUUUGCUUGCAGA
Molecule: non-coding RNA, 29 nt
Filed under: Bombyx mori (domestic silkworm)
Lineage: Eukaryota; Metazoa; Arthropoda; Insecta; Lepidoptera; Bombycidae
Source: RNAcentral